Ixodes scapularis (black-legged tick) is the source of this 711-nucleotide long non-coding RNA. RefSeq lists it as uncharacterized. Lineage: Eukaryota; Metazoa; Arthropoda; Arachnida; Ixodida; Ixodidae. The record is from RefSeq and is a predicted model, not a curated record. The transcript has 3 exons.
CCGAGCCGUCCCGUGAGCCCACUACAACUCUCUAGGCCACUGUAGUUCGGCGGCGCACGUUGGUUUGGCGUGUUGGGCCUCGUUGUUUCGGCCAGUUUUCGUGGCGAGCGGAGCGGUGACUGUGUUUGUUGCACGUAUAAUCAUAGUAUCCCCCUAGUCGCAAUGGGUUCGCGGCGCAAUGGCGAACUCCAAACCUCAAAAGGGGUACUUUCAGGUGUUCCUAAAAUCCUACAAGCAGGAAUUCCCGUGCUUCGUGCCGUCCAAGAAGGGAGAGAAGUUUGGAUUCUGUCGCACGUGCACGUGUGAUGUGAGCGUUUCACACGGUGGCAAGGCUGACAUCAAGCUGCACAUCGCUUCGCGUAAACACCAGGGAUAUGUGCGAGCUGCAGAUAACCAGUCGAAUCUGCAUAUUAAGAGGAGGUCCUGAAGGUCCUGUUGGAACUGCGGUUUGAUAUGGGGCAACUCAGGCCGGAAAUGGCGGCCAUCCUGACAGGGCAGGACCAAAUCAGGGCCCGCCUGGCAGUGAUGAAGCAGGCGGAAAGGGGGUCCGACGCACCGUCUUCACCUCCCGUGUUCAUCCUGCCGCUCACCACAAUGGAGGAUUUGGAGGCGGCCUCAGAAAUGCUGCUGACCAGGCCAUGCUGAAUUUUGCUCCCUAAGACCCUUCAAAGGAUGCAAGACGUGCAGCGUCCGACCAUAAAGAGGCAAGUG